GUCACAUUAUUCUAAGAAAAUCGAAGUGUGUCAGCCUCUCCCAGUGUGAGUAGAGACUCAAGCGCAGACAGAUCUCCAACCCCGAUUUUUUUCUCCUGCUGGUAAAUGAAGAAUUCAGAGCUAAAGCAUCAUAGACAUAAAAAAAGGAAGAAAAAAUCAAGGAGCUUGAAACAUGAUUCCAGCAAUGUAGCAAGCAGGAGCAUGACCCCUCAGUUGGCACGUCAAUUUCAGGAACUCUUCGAACUCGUGCACCACCAAAUUGAGAGCCAUCCCAACCGCUAUCCCAACAUGUACGACCCCACCCCAGACGAAGUUCUGUUUUUGAUCCAACUGCUUUACCUGCACUAAGUGGAGAUGGGAGCAGUGAAGAAGAAAAUGACAAGACUGAGAUCCAUGUAAAAGAGCCAGCUUCAGGACAGCAAUCGGAAGUUUGUGAGCAACACUUGCAGAGAGGACAUGCAAGAAACAUCGAGAAAAGAAAUGAUGAUAGAAAACCAUAUAAAGAAUAUUCUGCAUCCAGAUCUGGAGGAAGGCCUUUAAGCCAGCAGCCUUUACAAAAGCAGGAGAAAUACGACCAUGAUUACAAGGUCCAAUCUGAGAGAAAACAACUCAAAUCAGAGGUAAAAGAGCAUCACUUGGAAAGAAAACAAGACAACUUAGAGAGCUCUAGAGCCCAAUUCAGGAGAUCUCAUGGUCAAUCAGAGAGAUCUCGUGGCUACAUAGAAAGAUCUCAUCGCCGCUCAGAGCACUCUCAUGGCCGCUCAGAGAGAUACCAUGUCUACUCAGAGAGAUACCAUGUCUACUCAGAGAGAUCUCGUAGUCGCUCAGACAGAUCUUAUGGUCACUCAGAGAGAUACCGUGGCUAUGCAGAGCUACCUUAUGGUCACUCAAGUAGAUAUCAUGAUCAAUCAGGGAGAAUUUAUGGCCAAUCAGAGGGCUAUCAAAGAUACUUACCAAGAUACUUACCUGAAGGAAGAUUUGGAACAUCAUUCAAAACUGACGCUACAUUUGACAGGAAAUUUACAGUAUAUAAAAGAAAUGACUACUUUUACAAAAGGAUGUCGGAAAGAAAUUAUUCAGUGAAUGUGAAUCAAAAGGUAGCACCAGAACAUGAACAUAACUCCUACGAAGCUGAAAGAAAUUAUACAAGAUAUAUGAAUCGUGGAGAUGAUUCCUUCUUUCUGAGGACCAGACAUACUGGGGAGGGUUCUCCGCACCAGCCCAGAGGAGUAUUCCUGAAAUACAACUUUAAAGCACUAGGAAAUCAGACUAACCUUUCACUCCAUGAGAGAUUCUCUAAACUGGAAGCUCUGAGAAAACCAAGAGGUUUCAUCAACUACUGAAGACCAGAAUGUUCUUUGCUAUUAGAUUAUGUUUGAGAGUGUAUAUGUGUUCUUUCAAUAUUUACCCUUCUACUGUUCCUUUUAAAGUACUUUUCUCUAUGUAAGCUUUCAUGUAAUCUACCAAAAUUAAGCAAUUAAACGAAAGAAAUGUUUAGCUUUUGUUUGCAUAAAACAACAGGAAGGAAGUCAAGAACGGAGGUGAUUUCAAAUGAGAGAUGUUAGGAAAACAGCUAUGUUUAAGAACUAAAUGUCUUUUCAACGUCAGAGAAUUUGUUCCUUUAAUUUUAUUCCCCUAGAACUUGCUUGACUCCUAAGACACCUCCAUUGUAUCAGUUUAACAAAGUAACUAAAUAUCUUUUAUGGCCAAAUACUCUGCGCCACAAGUCAGUCUGUAAGUGGAUUCUACUCUUUGGUUAUUAAAAUGUUACACUUGUAUGCUAGCUUUUACAAUUCUAUAGGAAUUUGUAGUUUCACUUUUGAGAUAGACUUAUAAGAAUUUAAAACUCUGUCAUUUUUUUUGUGAACACAUGAAACAAAUAAAGCUUGAACAUAACUGUGACUCUUUUGUGGUCCAUUGAUAUCUGGGGCUCAAAGUAAUAGAGAUCCUGCUACAGACAAAUUAUCAAAGUGUAAUUUAGAGCUCAGUUCCUGUGUCCAGCUAAGCCUGUUAGGGUCACUGGAAAUGGCGAGUUUGCGAUUAUCUGGUACUUCCAUGUAAGACUGGUAUUUUUAAACCUAAUUUUAAUAAAUUCUGUCCUCACAUUUAAUAGUUACUUGUACAAGAAAAAUGCAAAGGAGAGGGAGAGGGAGGGAGAGAAUGAAGAGGAGAGAGAGGAAGGCGAAAGAGAAAAGAAGAGGGAAGAGGAGAAGAAGAGAAAGAAAGAAAAAAAGGAAGGAAGGAAGAAAGAAAAGAAAAGAAAAGAAAAGAAAGAAAGAAAGAAAGAAAGAAAGAAAGAAAGAAAGAAAGAAAGAAAGAAAUACGCACAUGAGUAAGAGUCAU
Molecule: long non-coding RNA, 2343 nt
Filed under: Chinchilla lanigera (long-tailed chinchilla)
Lineage: Eukaryota; Metazoa; Chordata; Mammalia; Rodentia; Chinchillidae
Description: lncRNA (ENSCLAG00000026646.1)
Source: RNAcentral